CUCAGGAUGAACGCUAGCGGCAGGCUUAACACAUGCAAGUCGAGGGGUAUAGUUCUUCGGAACUAGAGACCGGCGCACGGGUGCGUAACGCGUAUGCAAUCUACCUUUUACAGAGGGAUAGCCCAGAGAAAUUUGGAUUAAUACCUCAUAGUAUGUGAGAAUCGCAUGGUUUUCACAUUAAAGUUCCAACGGUAAAAGAUGAGCAUGCGUCCCAUUAGCUAGAUGGUAAGGUAACGGCUUACCAUGGCGACGAUGGGUAGGGGUCCUGAGAGGGAGAUCCCCCACACUGGUACUGAGACACGGACCAGACUCCUACGGGAGGCAGCAGUGAGGAAUAUUGGACAAUGGGCGCAAGCCUGAUCCAGCCAUGCCGCGUGCAGGAUGACGGUCCUAUGGAUUGUAAACUGCUUUUGUACAGGAAGAAACACUCCCUCGUGAGGGAGCUUGACGGUACUGUAAGAAUAAGGAUCGGCUAACUCCGUGCCAGCAGCCGCGGUAAUACGGAGGAUCCAAGCGUUAUCCGGAAUCAUUGGGUUUAAAGGGUCCGUAGGCGGUUUAAUAAGUCAGUGGUGAAAGCCCAUCGCUCAACGGUGGAACGGCCAUUGAUACUGUUAAACUUGAAUUAUUAGGAAGUAACUAGAAUAUGUAGUGUAGCGGUGAAAUGCUUAGAGAUUACAUGGAAUACCAAUUGCGAAGGCAGGUUACUACUAAUGGAUUGACGCUGAUGGACGAAAGCGUGGGUAGCGAACAGGAUUAGAUACCCUGGUAGUCCACGCCGUAAACGAUGGAUACUAGCUGUUGGGAGCAAUCUCAGUGGCUAAGCGAAA
This 827-nucleotide ribosomal RNA is filed under the name Flavobacterium sp. OL2. Its description in RNAcentral is "bacterial SSU rRNA". It matches the Rfam family "Bacterial small subunit ribosomal RNA", at positions 23 to 856 of the family's 1533-position model. Lineage: Bacteria; Pseudomonadati; Bacteroidota; Flavobacteriia; Flavobacteriales; Flavobacteriaceae. The record is from RNAcentral.